UCUUUUCACCCUUUAAAAUGGAUUCCUACAUCAAAUCAGACUUUGGCCCCAUUAUAAUCUUCUGUGGCAUCACAUGGCUAUAGGCUCGAAGGAUAUGGCCAGUGGCGAAAUCCUCCUGCCUAAGGGGAGUUUUCGAAAGGAUGGAUCUGCUAUAAAGUAUCUUAGUCAUGCUCAUGCAUGCAUAUUAUCACUACAAAAGAGACUUGUUUUUUUAGCAACUGAGUGCUCCUGGGAUUGUGUUUCAGCACUGGAGGAACAGCCUGAAGUGCAAAGACUCUUGAAAGUGUCCUACUUGAGUUCGUGGUACGACAAAACUACCCUUUGACCUCAGGCCGUGAGGUUAGUUUCUGACGUCCCUCUCUUCUGUUUGCAUGUGGAUAAUGAAGAUGCUGCCCUGCUCAUCAGGAAAUGAGUAGGCUGCUUGACUCCAACCUGAGCUGAAGGAGAGAAGUCACAUCUAGCACAAACUGACCCAAGGGGAUGUCUGGAGUAAACCACAGGCAAGAGUCUCUCCUCCUAGAGAGGACAUCAGUCCUGGAAGAAGCUGGUGCUGGAGUGCAGAAGGGGAUGGGCAAACCAAGACACUGAGGCAUCAAAUACACCAAAUGGAGGUGGCUCUUUGGUUUCCUCCUGCGAAGGGAUUAUUCCAACAUGUCCCACAGUUCAGCAUAUGGAACAGAACAGAUCCAAACCCUGUUCGACCAAAUGCAAGGUCCCUUCAUGAGAUGCUGCUUCAGAGUGUGAGCUGACCUCUCCCAGAGAAGACAGAGCACUGCACUGUAUUAUGAGCUGUAUGAAAACAGCCAAGUAGUCUUGGAAAAAGGGUCAUCGGAAAGCAUUCACUGGAGCUGGCAGGAAAGCACAUUUUGCCAACGCUUGUUUCAUAAAUAUUUAUUUUAAAAAUUGAAUUUUGUGAGUUUUCAGAUGAAAGAAGCCAUAAACCAGUGAAUAGAAACUUCAAGAUUGAAUUUUUUUACAUAUACUCCUUAUAACUUCUUUUAUCCUUUUUCAGUUUGAAAGAACUGAAGAAACUAAAAUGUAAAAAAAAACCCUGUCUCAGCCAGAAUGCAGAGCCAAGGCCAGGUUUCCAGAAGAAUGAGUCAGUAAUAAAGAAACCUACGGCUUGUAACCAAAAUGCCUCGAGCUGUUAUCAUAAGUUAUCUUGAAUAAACUAUGUAUUGUGUACUUCUUGAAGAGCACGACCAAAAACUCACUGAAACAGUGGAUCUCCAAGUAGGUAUGGCUAAAAGCCAAACUAAUGUUUUAUGCCUCUUUUUAGUUCAUAUCCAAAAGGAUGUUUGUUUGUUUUUAUUCAUUCAUUACUCAUGGAAAAAAACCCCAACA
This is a long non-coding RNA of Myiozetetes cayanensis, 1344 nucleotides long. RefSeq lists it as uncharacterized. The transcript is spliced from 4 exons. NCBI's taxonomy places the organism in Eukaryota, Metazoa, Chordata, Aves, Passeriformes, Tyrannidae. The record is from RefSeq and is a predicted model, not a curated record.